Molecule: transfer RNA, 45 nt
Filed under: Rhinopithecus brelichi (Gray snub-nosed monkey)
Lineage: Eukaryota; Metazoa; Chordata; Mammalia; Primates; Cercopithecidae
Description: partial tRNA-Thr
Source: RNAcentral
UACACCGGUCUUGUAAACCGGAAACGGAUACCUCUCCCCAGGGCA